AUGAACGCUGGCGGCGUGCCUAAUACAUGCAAGUCGAACGAAACUUCUUUAUCACCGAGUGCUUGCACUCACCGAUAAAGAGUUGAGUGGCGAACGGGUGAGUAACACGUGGGCAACCUGCCCAAAAGAGGGGGAUAACACUUGGAGACAGGUGCUAAUACCGCAUAACCAUAGUUACCGCAUGGUAACUAUGUAAAAGGUGGCUAUACUACCGCUUUUGGAUGGGCCCGCGGCGCAUUAGCUAGUUGGUAGGGUAAAGGCUUACCAAGGCAAUGAUGCGUAGCCGAAUUGAGAGGUUGAUCGGCCACAUUGGGACUGAGACACGGCCCAAACUCCUACGGGAGGCAGCAGUAGGGAAUCUUCCACAAUGGGCGAAAGCCUGAUGGAGCAACGCCGCGUGGGUGAAGAAGGUCUUCGGAUCGUAAAACCCUGUUGUUAGAGAAGAAAGUGCGUGAGAGUAACUGUUCACGUUUCGACGGUAUCUAACCAGAAAGCCACGGCUAACUACGUG
This 511-nucleotide ribosomal RNA is filed under the name uncultured bacterium. Its description in RNAcentral is "partial 16S ribosomal RNA". It matches the Rfam family "Bacterial small subunit ribosomal RNA", at positions 29 to 507 of the family's 1533-position model. The record is from RNAcentral.